RNAcentral lists this RNase P RNA (384 nucleotides) under Deltaproteobacteria bacterium. RNAcentral describes it as "RNase P RNA component class A". It matches the Rfam family "Bacterial RNase P class A". Rfam says of the family: Ribonuclease P (RNase P) is a ubiquitous endoribonuclease, found in archaea, bacteria and eukarya as well as chloroplasts and mitochondria. Its best characterised activity is the generation of mature 5'-ends of tRNAs by cleaving the 5'-leader elements of precursor-tRNAs. Lineage: Bacteria; Pseudomonadati; Myxococcota; Myxococcia. The record is from RNAcentral.
GGAGUUUUCCGCAUGGUCGCUGGCAUUGCUUUAAUUAAGCGUAUGUCAGAGGAAAGUCCGGACUCCACAGAGCAGGGUGGUCCGUAACACGGACACCGGGUGACCGGUGGAAAGUGCCACAGAGAAUAGACCGCCUGAAAAAGUCGCUUUUAUGCGAAAUUUCAGGUAAGGGUGAAACGGCGGGGUAAGAGCCCACCGCUCCAGUGGUGACACUGGAGGCAAGGUAAACCCCACCCGGAGCAAGAUCAAGCAGGGAAAUGGGCUGCUCGUCCGAAAAUCCCGGGUAGAUCGCACGAGGUAACCAGUAAUGGUUACCCAGGAUAAAUGACCAUGGGGAAACCAUUAGGUUUCUUACAGAAUCCGGCUUACAGGUAAACUCCAUCC